UUAUGAUCAAGACAUGCCCAAUUCAAAUGAGGCUUAAGCGAUGGGAGAGGAAGAAGUGUAAACCAAACAGUCUUCCUGUCCUGCACAAGAUGCAUGUUAGGAUUGGCGAUACAGUACAAGUCAUUGCAGGCCGUGAGAAAGGUAAAGUUGGAGAAGUUACGCGGCUUUUUAAGCACAACAGCACUGUAAUAGUGAAGGACUUGAACUUGAAGUCCAAGCACAAGAAAGGAACAGAAGAUGAACCGGG
Molecule: unclassified non-coding RNA, 247 nt
Filed under: Hevea brasiliensis (rubber tree)
Lineage: Eukaryota; Viridiplantae; Streptophyta; Magnoliopsida; Malpighiales; Euphorbiaceae
Source: RNAcentral